Molecule: ribosomal RNA, 274 nt
Filed under: uncultured bacterium
Lineage: Bacteria
Description: partial 16S ribosomal RNA
Rfam family: Archaeal small subunit ribosomal RNA
Source: RNAcentral
AAACCAGCACCUCAAGUGGUCAGGAUGAUUAUUGGGCCUAAAGCAUCCGUAGCCGGCUCUGUAAGUUUUCGGUUAAAUCUGUACGCUUAACGUACAGGCUGCUGGGAAUACUGCAGAGCUAGGGAGUGGGAGAGGUAGACGGUACUCGGGAGGAAGUGGUAAAAUGCUUUGAUCUCUCGAUGACCACCUGUGGCGAAGGCGGUCUACCAGAACACGUCCGACGGUGAGGGAUGAAAGCUGGGGGAGCAAACCGGAUUAGAUACCCUAGUAGUCC